GGUUGGUCCAAAGGUGUAGUGAGUUCUCUCAGUUGAUUGUUCACACUCAGUUACAGGUUGAACUCCUUAUUCUACUCUUUCCCCCUUCUCACUACUGCACUUCACUAGUCUUAA
Molecule: Y RNA, 114 nt
Filed under: Zalophus californianus (California sea lion)
Lineage: Eukaryota; Metazoa; Chordata; Mammalia; Carnivora; Otariidae
Description: Y RNA (ENSZCAG00015003839.1)
Rfam family: Y RNA
About the family: Y RNAs are components of the Ro ribonucleoprotein particle (Ro RNP), in association with Ro60 and La proteins. The Y RNAs and Ro60 and La proteins are well conserved, but the function of the Ro RNP is not known.
Source: RNAcentral